AGCAGCCGCGGUAAUUCCAGCUCCAAUAGCGUAUAUUAAAGUUGUUGCAGUUAAAAAGCUCGUAGUUGAACUUCGGGGCCAGUAGGUUGGUCGUGCCACUGGUAUGCACUGGCCUUACUGGUCCCUCCCUCUUGUAGAACCGUGAUGCCAUUAAUUUGGUGUUGCGGGGAAGCAGGACUGUUACUUUGAAAAAAUUAGAGUGUUUAAAGCAGGCUAACGCUUGAAUACAUUAGCAUGGAAUAAUGAAAUAGGACGACGAUCCUAUUUUGUUGGUUUCUAGGAUUGACGUAAUGAUUAAUAGGGAUAGUUGGGGGCAUUAGUAUUCAAUUGUCAGAGGUGAAAUUCUUGGAUUUAUUGAAGACUAACUACUGCGAAAGCAUUUGCCAAGGAUGUUUUCAUUAAUCAAGAACGAAAGUUAGGGGAUCGAAGACGAUCAGAUACCGUCGUAGUCUUAACCAUAAACUAUGCCGACUAGGGAUCGGAUGAUGUUAAUUUUAUAAUGACUCAUUCGGCGCCUUAC
Molecule: ribosomal RNA, 520 nt
Filed under: uncultured Glomus
Lineage: Eukaryota; Fungi; Glomeromycota; Glomeromycetes; Glomerales; Glomeraceae
Description: SSU rRNA
Rfam family: Eukaryotic small subunit ribosomal RNA
Source: RNAcentral